Acinetobacter johnsonii SH046 is the source of this 163-nucleotide non-coding RNA. The record is from Rfam. Lineage: Bacteria; Pseudomonadati; Pseudomonadota; Gammaproteobacteria; Moraxellales; Moraxellaceae.
CAUCGCUUCAGGGCGGGGUGUAAUUCCCCACCGGUGGUAAGUUCAGUUGAAUGACUCAAACUGAAUCAGCCCACGAGCCAGCCAAGUAGAAAUCCUCUAUUUGGUUCGCAGAUUUGGUUCAAUUCCAAAGCCGACGGUAUAGUCCGGAUGAAAGAAGACGACG